UGGAAAGAAGAGGCAUGAAAGUCAGUUGUAGUAAGACAAUACGUGUGUCUAAGAAGGUGCAGGAGUUUAUCAGUUCAGUGUGAGUGUGGAACUGAGGUGGAGGUGAGUGCAGGCGGGUGGAGGAAAGUGACUGGAGUGUUGUGUGACAGAAGAGUGUCAGCGAGACUCAAAGGAAAGGCAAUGAGAGAGCAGCUCUGCUCUAUGGGUGAGAGACGGUAGCAGUGAGGAAGAGGUGGAGGCAGCAGAGAUGAAGAUGCUGAGGUUCUCCUGAUAGAGACGAGGUUGGACAGAAUCAGGAACCAGCUCAUCAGAGGAACGUCUGCAGCAACAAAGUCAGAGGCCAGACUGAGGUGGUUUGGACGUGUGCAGAGGAGGGAGAGGGAAUAUGUUGGUAGAAGGAUGUUGGAGAUGGAGCUGCCAGACAAGAGGGCAACCAAGGAGGAGAUGGAAUGUGGAAGAUGCCCUGGAUAAAGUAAAAAUGAGGAUGAUUCACUGCGGAGAACAGCUGAAAGGCCGAAAAUAGAAUGUUCAACCAGACACAUGAUGACAUAUUACAGUUAGUGACUUUACUGAAGUUCUUUGGCUUAUGAAUAAAAAUCCUUUGUUUGUCCUGCAAUGGGGAAAUUGUCAAUGACCUGUGAGUGCGUAGAACUGAAUCAGCGCUUGUUGUUUUGGGCAGAGACUGAGCCUCUCAUUCUGGGGGCUUGUGCUCGUCGCGUCUCCGUCCUCCCUCCUCCCGCUCCGUGUGGAGGCCAUUAACCCACGCUGGCUGCAGUAUAUAACGCUCUGCCGGUUUCACAACAGCGUCUUCCUCGUCACCGUCAGACAUGGACAAGCGUUUUCUGCUGGCGCUGAUGUGUCUGCAGGUCCUCCUGCUCGUCACGGCCUCGGCCGCUGCUGCUGCUGCUGCUGCGCUGGAAGGAGACGACCUGCAGCCGCAGUCCCAACCGAAAGCGUCACACAAUGCAAGACGCAGGUCCCAGAUUCCACGUACUGGGUAUCGACCAGGAAGCAUGUCGGUCAUCAUUGUCCACAGGAAGAAAUAACUGCUUCUGUCUGGAAGUCGAAGCAACGCCGCAGAACCGAGGACUUUACGCUUCGUCUUCCUGCAGGUUCUCUGUGUAUCAGACUUUACUGUUUGCAUGACAUGCGUUGUGUACCACAGUACAAGCAGUACUACAGUAGUACUGUAUAAUUAACUGCUGCUAUAACGCAAUAUUACACACGAUGCAAGUUCUUACUUCAUAAUAACCAGCAGAAAAACUGAAAACGUGCAGUAACCACAUAUUUUCAGUAUUAUAAUAAAAUGUUUUUACUCAUAAA
Molecule: long non-coding RNA, 1323 nt
Organism: Betta splendens (Siamese fighting fish)
Lineage: Eukaryota; Metazoa; Chordata; Actinopteri; Anabantiformes; Osphronemidae
Exons: 4
Source: RefSeq, a predicted model, not a curated record